Molecule: long non-coding RNA, 430 nt
Filed under: Citrus x clementina
Lineage: Eukaryota; Viridiplantae; Streptophyta; Magnoliopsida; Sapindales; Rutaceae
Description: Citrus clementina (C. clementina) long non-coding RNA (CCLE_LNC006811)
Source: RNAcentral
GGGAAGGCAUUAAUGUCUACUCAAAAUUAGCAUUGGAUUGAAAUUAAAUGUAAAAUCACUUAUUUCAUUUAUUCGUGUAUUUUAAUAUUCUUAUAUUUUUGCACUAACAGAGCAUUUAAUGAUCAUGUUUUUUUUUUUUUUUUUGUAUUUUCAUUGUUAGAUCGUGAGCCACUUCAAUGGUUUGCAGAACAAAUCAUGAAUGCUGAAGGAGUGCGUGAUCUUGAUGAUUGACAAUAUAUCGCAUGAUGUAUUGGAAGUUUGGAAUCUACAUGGAUUUGUUUAUUUGUGGACUUUAAUAGUGGUAUUAGACUUGAAUUUAUGUUAUUUUUUAUAUUUGAUUUAUGUUAUGGUACUUUUAUUUGUAGAUUUAUGAUGUUGUUGUAUGUUAUUCUUGUUGAAUUGUUGAUCGUUGAAUUAUUAUUGAAUUUUA